GAUGAACGCUGGCGGCGUGCCUAACACAUGCAAGUCGAGCGGAGAAUUGUUGCUUGCAACAAUUCUUAGCGGCGGACGGGUGAGUAACACGUGGGUAACCUGCCCUAAACAAAGGGAUAACAAUGAGAAAUCAUUGCUAAUACCGUAUAAGCUUACACUAUCGCAUGAUAGAGUAAGAAAAGAUUUAUCGGUUUAGGAGGGGCCCGCGUCUGAUUAGCUAGUUGGAGAGGUAACUGCUCACCAAGGCGACGAUCAGUAGCCGACCUGAGAGGGUGAUCGGCCACAUUGGGACGGAGACACGGCGGAAACUCCUACGGGGGGCAGCAGUGGGGAAUAUUGCACGAUGGAGGAAACUAGGAUGCAGCAACGCCGCGGGAAGGAAGAAGGUUUUCGGAUCGUAAAAUUCUAUCUACAGGGAAGAAAAAAAUGACGGUACCUGAGUAAGAAGCCCCGGCUAACUACGUG
Molecule: ribosomal RNA, 465 nt
Filed under: uncultured bacterium
Lineage: Bacteria
Description: partial 16S ribosomal RNA
Rfam family: Bacterial small subunit ribosomal RNA
Source: RNAcentral